GAGAAGAUAGUGGCGAACGGGUGGAGUAACACGUGGGUAACCUGCCCAUAAGAGGGGGGAGUAACAAUCCGGAAACGGGUGGCUAAUACCGCAUAGUUUCUUGAUUGCAUGAUUGAGAAAGGAAAGACGGCCGUUUGUGCUGUCGCUUAUGGAUGGACCCGCGGCGUAUUAGUUAGUUGGUGAGGUAACGGCUCACCAAGACGAUGAUACGUAGCCGACCUGAGAGGGUGAUCGGCCACAUUGGGACUGAGACACGGCCCAAACUCCUACGGGAGGCAGCAGUAGGGAAUCUUCCGCAAUGGACGAAAGUCUGACGGAGCAACGCCGCGUGAGUGAAAGAAGGUUUUCGGAUCGUAAAACUCUGUUGUCAGAGAAGAACAAGUUGGAGAGUAACUGCUCCAGCCUUGACGGUAUCUGACCAGAAAGCCACGGCUAACUACGUGCCAGCCGCCGC
Molecule: ribosomal RNA, 454 nt
Filed under: uncultured bacterium
Lineage: Bacteria
Description: bacterial SSU rRNA
Rfam family: Bacterial small subunit ribosomal RNA
Source: RNAcentral